This 1052-nucleotide long non-coding RNA is filed under the name Vulpes vulpes (red fox). Its description in RNAcentral is "lncRNA (ENSVVUG00000001417.1)". Lineage: Eukaryota; Metazoa; Chordata; Mammalia; Carnivora; Canidae. The record is from RNAcentral.
GUCAAAAUCUUUAUAGAUAAUUUUUUUUUCACAGAUCAUUGACCCAAUAAACUGGAGUAAUUACAUUCAUUGGAGUCUAUUAGAUGCCAGACAUGUGUGGUAAUGACUCAAUUCAGCUCUCAAAGUGAAGGCACAAAUGGUCAGUCGACUUGUAAAGAUCAAUUAUAUGGUGGGCUGAAGCAAACAUGUCAAGUUGUGAUGGAAGGAAGGGAGCAAUUUGUUUUAAGAAAACUGAAGAGGUGAUUUAUGUCCAUUCUAGACCAGUGUGGUGAAUUCGGUCCUCAAUAUUCAUAAACCAGGCUGUGGUCAGUAGCACAACCUGCUUGACAAACUUUGAGGAAGCUGAAGAGGCCAAUGUUCGACACUUUUUGUUGCAGAGAACUGAUUUAGUCUUUGCUGUUCUUAGCAGGUGUUGACACUAUCAUUUUUAUUAGGAAUUUGAUGAAAACAUAUUGGAUGACCUUUCAUACAUGCUGAUGUAUGGCCUUUUUCCAAGCCUUUUUCCCUUUCUCCCCAAACAGGAUUUGAGGAACUAUAAGCUACCGCCCAAUUUCAGCUUUCUCUUUUAUGGAUCUGUCCCUGAGGCUACAUGACAGUUUUGCUGAAAUUGAGCCAAUGCAUCUCAGAUGAUCACACACAGGGUGGUCUGUCUGCUGCUUUCACUUUCCAAACAUCCGUGACUAUGUGAAAUUGUUUUGUGUUGUGCUAAGAGUACCUUCUGCCCAAAUGCCUGUGGCUUCCCUAUCUCACCUUAUCCUUCAACAGCUGUUUGGGAUUCUCUCCUACUGUCAUUGCCACUUUUACCGUGAGAAAAAUCCCCACAAUUGAAGAUUCUUUCUUCUAAUCCUGCUUGCUGAGUGAUUCAGCUGAAGGGCAUGAGCCUCAUCAUUUUUUUCAUCUUUCUAUUCCUUGUAUCUUGCAAAAACGUGACGUUUGGUACAAAAAGAAGUACAAAAUAAUGCUUGAUAUAUUUCAAUGAAUUCUUGAUUUGGGGUAUAGAGCAGGAGGAAUAAUUUUUUUUCCCAACUUCUUUUCUAUCUCUCAGAAUUUCC